CGGUCACGUUCGUUGCAUUGGAGUAGGUUAAAUGUUCUAUAUAAUAAAUCAAGUUCACAUUAAAUAGUAAACUAAAGCAGAACAAUUGAAUAUAUUAUUUAGAGACACUACCUAUUAAAUAGUGAAACGCAAUUAAGCAGACAGAUCACUCCACGAACUAAGAACGGCCAUGCACCACCUAUCACACAAUCAUGAAAGGACUAGCAUAUUUGAAAUUGAAUUUUAAACAAAUUAUUUUCAAAAAAGAAAAUAAUAAGAAAAUUCGAAACACCUGUCAAUCCUCAGUGUGUCCGGACCCGGUAAGAUUUCCCGCGUUGGGUCAAAUUAAGCCACAUGCUCCAC
RNAcentral lists this ribosomal RNA (342 nucleotides) under Foraminifera environmental sample. RNAcentral describes it as "partial small subunit ribosomal RNA". The record is from RNAcentral. Lineage: Eukaryota; Foraminifera.